Molecule: ribosomal RNA, 405 nt
Filed under: uncultured bacterium
Lineage: Bacteria
Description: partial 16S ribosomal RNA
Rfam family: Bacterial small subunit ribosomal RNA
Source: RNAcentral
AUUGAACGCUAGCGGGAUGCUUUACACAUGCAAGUCGAACGAGUGGCGGACGGGUGAGUAAUAUAUCGGAACGUGCCCAGUAGAGGGGGAUAACUACUCGAAAGAGUGGCUAAUACCGCCUACUAUUGGCGAGGCCGGUAUCGGAUUAGCUAGUUGGUGGGGUAAAGGCUCACCAAGGCCACGAUCCGUAGCUGGUCUGAGAGGACGACCAGCCACACUGGUACUGAGACACGGCCCAGACUCCUACGGGAGGCAGCAGUGGGGAAUAUUGGACAAUGGGGGAAACCCUGAUCCAGCCAUGCCGCGUGUAUGAGAAGGCCUUCGGGUUGUAAAGUACUUUCGGCAGGGAAGCGGUAUCCGCAGAAGAAGCACCGGCUAACUCCGUACCAGCAGCCGCGGUAAUUC